RNAcentral lists this long non-coding RNA (429 nucleotides) under Equus caballus (horse). Its description in RNAcentral is "lncRNA (ENSECAG00000050720.1)". Lineage: Eukaryota; Metazoa; Chordata; Mammalia; Perissodactyla; Equidae. The record is from RNAcentral.
UCUCUGCAUGGUACUUCUUCCAGUCGUACGAUGUGGGUAUGGAAAUGGAUCAAUAUGUUGUGAGUACUCUACGAAGAGCGUAAGGCGGACUCCCAGUUUCAUUGCUUCCUGGUUAUGCAAGCUUGGAUGGGAAAAGAAUGACUUGACAGUGAUGACAUCUGGCAGAUGCCACCUUCAUCAUAAGGCCACAAUUCAUACAAGCCAUGGGACCAGUCGAACCCAUUCACCACCCGGUAGGACCCAGCGAGGAGAGCAUGACAUCAUUUUUGUGAUACUUCUGCCAGAAAUGUGUAUCCUGAAUCCAGCCAGAGGAAACACUAGACAAACCCAACAUUCUACAAUUUGCAAUCAUCUAAAGGGCAUGAGACCAGGGAAAGACUGAGAAACUGGUUUUGAAGAAAAUCAAGGAGACUUUGAGAACCAAACACG